UACGUAGGGUGCGAGCGUUAAUCGGAAUUACUGGGCGUAAAGCGUGCGCAGGCGGCUUCGCAAGUCAGACGUGAAAUCCCCGGGCUUAACCUGGGAAUGGCAUUUGGGACUGCAAGGCUUGAGUGCGGCAGAGGAGACUGGAAUUCCCGGUGUAGCAGUGAAAUGCGUAGAUAUCGGGAGGAAUACCGAUGGCGAAGGCAGGUCUCUGGGCUGACACUGACGCUCAUGCACGAAAGCGUGGGGAGCAAACAGG
This 253-nucleotide ribosomal RNA is filed under the name uncultured bacterium. RNAcentral's name for it is "partial 16S ribosomal RNA". It matches the Rfam family "Bacterial small subunit ribosomal RNA", at positions 524 to 776 of the family's 1533-position model. The record is from RNAcentral.